RNAcentral lists this non-coding RNA (91 nucleotides) under unclassified sequences. The record is from RNAcentral.
GGCGCGGUGUAGCUCCUAUAUCAAAGUCCGGCUAAUGCGGCCAGGCUUCACGGUCUGGGUGUCACAAGCCACCACGAACGCAGAGUGGCCG